Molecule: ribosomal RNA, 420 nt
Filed under: bacterium
Lineage: Bacteria
Description: partial 16S ribosomal RNA
Rfam family: Bacterial small subunit ribosomal RNA
Source: RNAcentral
UGGGGGAUAUUGCACAAUGGGCGAAAGCCUGAUGCAGCGACGCCGCGUGGGGGAUGAAGGCUUUCGGGUUGUAAACCUCUUUCGCUAUCGAACAAGGCCCGCUUAGGGUGGGUUGAGGGUAGGUGGAGAAGAAGCGCCGGCUAACUACGUGCCAGCAGCCGCGGUAAUACGUAGGGCGCGAGCGUUGUCCGGAAUUAUUUGGCGUAAAGGGCUUGUAGGCGGUUUGUUGCGCCUGCUGUGAAAACGCGGGGCUUAACUUCGCGCGUGCAGUGGGUACGGGCAGGCUUGAGUGUGGUAGGGGUGACUGGAAUUCCAGGUGUAGCGGUGGAAUGCGCAGAUAUCUGGAGGAACACCGAUGGCGAAGGCAGGUCACUGGGCCAUUACUGACGCUGAGGAGCGAAAGCAUGGGUAGCGAACAGG